Molecule: ribosomal RNA, 291 nt
Filed under: uncultured bacterium
Lineage: Bacteria
Description: partial 16S ribosomal RNA
Rfam family: Bacterial small subunit ribosomal RNA
Source: RNAcentral
GUGCCAGCCGCCGCGGUAAUACGUAGGGGGCAAGCGUUGUCCGGAAUUAUUGGGCGUAAAGCGCGCGCAGGCGGUCAUUUAAGUCUGGUGUUUAAACCUUGGGCUCAACCUGAGGUCGCACUGGAAACUGGGUGACUUGAGUACAGAAGAGGAAAGUGGAAUUCCACGUGUAGCGGUGAAAUGCGUAGAUAUGUGGAGGAACACCAGUGGCGAAGGCGACUUUCUGGGCUGUAACUGACGCUGAGGCGCGAAAGCGUGGGGAGCAAACAGGAUUAGAUACCCUGGUAGUCC